AGUAAGACAGGCAAAGUCCAGACAGGCUCGCAGACAGUAGCCUGGAAAUAUCUUAGUCACACAUAUGCAUGUUAGUCACACACAUAUGGUAGCUACAAACACUCAUACAUACACAAGAGCUAAAUGACACACAUACGGUGUGUUUAUAUAAUGCAAUGCUUUUGUGCAGAAGGUAUGAAUAAUGCUUCUGAGGCUGAUUUGAAAUGAAAGACAAGAACAUUCACACUAGAUACACUUUUGUUCAAACACACUUCUGGGUUCUAUCCCACGUAUGCAGCUGAAGGAAUGGUAUACAAGUGGAAAACAUGAUGGCAUGUUUUUUUGGUGGUUCAUAGUUGUGGUUAGUCCCUCAGACAGAGGCGCUGAUGAUUUGACAUAAUUGCCUCUUUAGACUACUAGAUGACUACUGUGCCCAUGCAUUAUGUGCAGUAGAGCUAACUGUCCCUUCACGGCACUGAAAGACCUGUAUGUUUACACUGCCCACAGGCAAGAGCACUGAGAGACAGAGCAGGACUCCUUUCUCCUAAGUCAGUGAGAAAGAGGUGUGUCUGCUGGGUGUGUACAUAUGUGGGUAUUUACAUGUGUGUGUGUGUGUGUGUGUGUGUGUGUGUGUGUGUGUGUGUGUGUGUGUGUGUGUGUGUGUGUAAAAGAAAGAGAUGAGCUUUUAAAAACAUCAACAACAGUCAAUGACACCCUGUUACACUACACUGAAGCAACAGAGCCAAGGUGUCUGUAACAUUAGAACUCAAAGGAUGUAAUUACGCAUUUCACAACAGACACAAGUCCUCUUUGUUUUAGCCCUUUUUUCUGCAGCGGUUUCCUUUUUUUUCAUGUCAUCUCCGGAGGUCACUCCAGGCUAAAUCUUUCUCCCUUCCUCUUUUCACACACCUCCCACAAAGCCAUGCUUUGUCCCAGAAAGAAAUCUUUUUCAUAUUGAGGUAGGAAGCCAUUUCAUGGAUGGUAUAUCCAGAUCCGUGUGUGUGUAUGUGUGUGUGUGUUUGUGUGUGAAAGAGAGAGAGGGGGGAGAUAUGGACAAAGAGGGGCAGGAAGAAAAUGCACAACAAGCAGAUGGUGCCAUGAUAAAGGUGUAUUUUUAGAGCCUUAUGCUCCAGGGAAAAGCAAGGACUUUCCAGGAAUGCAGCAGGCAUUAAUGGGAAUCAGCCCUCUGUUUAUCCCCCUGGGCUUAUUCACCCACCAAUGAUAGAUGGUAGUGGAACAGACAAGACCUGAAAUGCACCUGAACCCUGAUUCACCCUUACCAAUUCCUUGUGGAGCUACCUGUGUGUUUAGCACGUUCGCCUCACACCUCCAGGGUCCAGGGUUCGAGUCCCGCUGGGGCCAUGUGUGUGCGGAGUUUGCAUGUUCUCCCCGUGCUGCGGGGGUUUCCUCCUGGUACUCCGGUUUCCUCCCCCAGUCCAAAGACAUGCAUGGUAGGCUGACUGGCAUGUCCAAAGUGUCUGUAGUGCAUGAAUGGGUGUGUGAGUAUGUAUGAUUGUGCCCUGCGAUGGAUUGGCACCCUGUCCAAGGUGUACCCCGCCUUGUGCCGAUGUUCCCUGGGAUAGACUCCACAGUUUCCCCGAGACCCUUAAAAGGAGUAAGCAGUAGAGGAUGGAUGGAUAUUUCCAAUGAGACUAUUCACAUCAAAUUUUCAUCAGACACCAGUAUUAACUCAAGAAAUCCAGAAAUAUAAAGAAUUCACAACACAAAGUCCAUAAAUAAAGUUAUGUGUAAUAAAGUGGAAUGACACGGGUCAAAAUUAUUGAAGACGCUAAGAAAAAGCAGUUGUCCAAGGCAAGGUAAAGCAAGGAACCAGCUGAAAUCCACAAGUAAUUAUACCUCCUAUCUGUGCAAAUUAAUAUCAGCUGGGUUAGUAAAUUGAUGGUCUAUAAAAAGGUUUUUCAUUACCAAGGUGUCACACAAGAAACAUCUCAUGAUGGGUAAAAACAAAGAGCUCUCCCAAGACCUUCACAACCUUAUUGUUGCGAAACAUAUUGAUGGAAUCGGAUACAGACGUAUUUCAAAAAUUCUGAAUCCUCAAGUAAGCACCAUUGGGGCCAUUAUCCACAAGUGGCAGCAACAUUACUCCGUCAUCACCCGGCCAUGCACAGGAGCUUCUGUGAUUUCUGACCAGGGAGUCAGAAGAAUAGUCAAAAGAGUAGCCCAAGAGCCAAGGACCACUCAGAAAGAGCUCCAGAAACACUUGAAGGCAGCAGGUGCCAUUGUCACAGAGAAAACAAUAGGCAGUGCUCUCUACUGCUCAUGUUUACCCCACAAGACUCCAUUACUAAAGAAAAGGCAUGUUGAAGCUCGUUUAAAGUUUACUACAAGUCGUUUGGACAAGGCUAUGAAAUACUGGGAGAGUGUAUACUACAUACUACACACCAUGUUUGGAGAAGAAAUGGCACUGCACAUCACCCUAAAAACACUAUACCAACAGUGAAGUUUGGAGGUGGAAGCAUCAUGGUGUGGGGCUGUUUUUCAUCACAUGGUACUGGCAGACUUCAUAUAAUUGAAGGAACAAUGAAUGGACCCUUUUACCGGGAGAUUCUUGAGAAGAAUCUGCUGCCAUCCACCAGCAUUAUGAAGAUGAGACGUGGAUGGACCUUCCAGCAGGACAACGAUCCAAAGCAUACAGCAAAGGAAACUUGUUAGAAUGGCCCAGUCAAUCACCUGACUUGAAUCCAAUUGAACAAGAUUUAAAGACAAUAUGUUUAGAAGAAUGGGACAAAAUCACACCUGAAUACUACAGCCGAUUAAUUUCUUUAUACAGGAAGCGUCUUGAAGCUGUCAUUACAAAUAAAGGCUUCUUCACUAAGUAUUAAAUACAUUUCAGUUAGCAUGUUCAAUACGUUACAGAAUGUCGUUUUACUCCAACAAAUACAUAGACUUUCAAAACCACACUCCAUAACUACAUUAUUUAUUUAUUUUAAGUGAUGUUAGGAAACUAACAGUGUUGAUGGAGGGAAAAAUAAUGGAAAGUAAAUAAUAUUUUUGAAAUUAAUCUCUUUUUGAUGUACUUUAAUGUAUUGAUUAGAAUUAACAUGAAAUGCUCAGCCUCUAGCAUGUUUAAAAGAAAUGUUAUUAGUAAAGAUUUUUUAGAUGAAAUUUGAAUUCUUUCUUUCUUCUUUUAGUAUGCUCUGCAUAUCGUGCUGGGUACACCCUUCGAUUCCACGUCUGU
Ictalurus punctatus (channel catfish) is the source of this 3178-nucleotide long non-coding RNA. RefSeq lists it as uncharacterized. The record is from RefSeq and is a predicted model, not a curated record. The transcript has 3 exons. Lineage: Eukaryota; Metazoa; Chordata; Actinopteri; Siluriformes; Ictaluridae.